Cricetulus griseus (Chinese hamster) is the source of this 780-nucleotide non-coding RNA. The record is from RefSeq and is a predicted model, not a curated record. NCBI's taxonomy places the organism in Eukaryota, Metazoa, Chordata, Mammalia, Rodentia, Cricetidae.
UAAAGACACAUACUCAGGGGUGGUGUCGCUGAAUCAUACAAUAGUUCCACUUUCAUUUUUGAGGAUGCCCACACCAACUUUCAUACCAGCUGCGGCCACUGGCAUUCCUGUCACCAGUGAAUAAAGAUCCCCUUUCCCAUAUCCUCACCAGCAUUUGUUGUCAUUUCCCGUCUCAAUGGCAGCAAGUCUGGGUGGGAUGGGACCUCAGAGAAGCUGCCAUUGGCAUUUCCCAGAAGGCUAAGGAUGUGGACCGCCUCCUCAAAUAUUCAUUGGCCAUUUGUAUUUCUUCCCUGAAAACCAACUGUCCACUGGCCUAAAAUAAUAUAAAUGACCUUUUCUGGGAAGGACAUCUCAUCUGAAACAAAUGACCUCUUAAAGGCAAGACCCACUGUAUGUUAAGUUCUCAGCCAAGGCUGAGACCAAAGGAAAACUGCUCAGCACCUGGUUUUGCUUGCUCAGGAGGAAGCUGUGGCUUCAAGGAAGAGCUCUGGUCACGUUCUUCACCCUUACAAAGCUCUAGAGGGGAAGCUGAUUGACUGUGCUCCAUCUCCGCUGAAUUCCAGAGCUAUCCAGUGUGUCUUCAUGAACUUAACCUCCAGCCCUGUCUGCCCUGUUUCCCACAACAGCACCUAGGUAGGACACAUCAUGGCGAAUGUUGGAAAGUUUUUCACAAAAGAGCAAACUAUUGGGGGUAGGAAUUUAGGCAGCAGAGAAUGAGGAGGAAGGAGCGUGGGGUUGGCAAAGUAGAGUCUGGCCAAUAAAGAACAACAUAUGAACUGA